UGGGGAAUAUUGGACAAUGGACCGAGAGUCUGAUCCAGCAAUUCUGUAUGCACGAUGAAGUUUUUCGGAAUGUAAAGUGCUUUCAGUUGGGAAGAAAAAAAUGACGGUACCAACAGAAGAAGUGACGGCUAAAUACGUGCCAGCAGCCGCGGUAAUACGUAUGUCACAAGCGUUAUCCGGAUUUAUUGGGCGUAAAGCGCGUCUAGGUGGUUAUGUAAGUCUGAUGUGAAAAUGCAGGGCUCAACUCUGUAUUGCGUUGGAAACUGUAUAACUAGAGUACUGGAGAGGUAAGCGGAACUACAAGUGUAGAGGUGAAAUUCGUAGAUAUUUGUAGGGAUGUCGAUGGGGAAGCCAGCUUACUGGACAGAUACUGACGCUAAAGCGCGAAAGCGUGGGUAGCAAACAGG
This 407-nucleotide ribosomal RNA is filed under the name bacterium. RNAcentral describes it as "partial 16S ribosomal RNA". It matches the Rfam family "Bacterial small subunit ribosomal RNA", at positions 355 to 776 of the family's 1533-position model. The record is from RNAcentral.